Molecule: ribosomal RNA, 1488 nt
Filed under: Lactiplantibacillus plantarum
Lineage: Bacteria; Bacillati; Bacillota; Bacilli; Lactobacillales; Lactobacillaceae
Description: Lactobacillus plantarum partial 16S ribosomal RNA
Rfam family: Bacterial small subunit ribosomal RNA
Source: RNAcentral
UUAAUUUGAGAGUUUGAUCCUGGCUCAGGACGAACGCUGGCGGCGUGCCUAAUACAUGCAAGUCGAACGAACUCUGGUAUUGAUUGGUGCUUGCAUCAUGAUUUACAUUUGAGUGAGUGGCGAACUGGUGAGUAACACGUGGGAAACCUGCCCAGAAGCGGGGGAUAACACCUGGAAACAGAUGCUAAUACCGCAUAACAACUUGGACCGCAUGGUCCGAGUUUGAAAGAUGGCUUCAGCUAUCACUUUUGGAUGGUCCCGCGGCGUAUUAGCUAGAUGGUGGGGUAACGGCUCACCAUGGCAAUGAUACGUAGCCGACCUGAGAGGGUAAUCGGCCACAUUGGGACUGAGACACGGCCCAAACUCCUACGGGAGGCAGCAGUAGGGAAUCUUCCACAAUGGACGAAAGUCUGAUGGAGCAACGCCGCGUGAGUGAAGAAGGGUUUCGGCUCGUAAAACUCUGUUGUUAAAGAAGAACAUAUCUGAGAGUAACUGUUCAGGUAUUGACGGUAUUUAACCAGAAAGCCACGGCUAACUACGUGCCAGCAGCCGCGGUAAUACGUAGGUGGCAAGCGUUGUCCGGAUUUAUUGGGCGUAAAGCGAGCGCAGGCGGUUUUUUAAGUCUGAUGUGAAAGCCUUCGGCUCAACCGAAGAAGUGCAUCGGAAACUGGGAAACUUGAGUGCAGAAGAGGACAGUGGAACUCCAUGUGUAGCGGUGAAAUGCGUAGAUAUAUGGAAGAACACCAGUGGCGAAGGCGGCUGUCUGGUCUGUAACUGACGCUGAGGCUCGAAAGUAUGGGUAGCAAACAGGAUUAGAUACCCUGGUAGUCCAUACCGUAAACGAUGAAUGCUAAGUGUUGGAGGGUUUCCGCCCUUCAGUGCUGCAGCUAACGCAUUAAGCAUUCCGCCUGGGGAGUACGGCCGCAAGGCUGAAACUCAAAGGAAUUGACGGGGGCCCGCACAAGCGGUGGAGCAUGUGGUUUAAUUCGAAGCUACGCGAAGAACCUUACCAGGUCUUGACAUACUAUGCAAAUCUAAGAGAUUAGACGUUCCCUUCGGGGACAUGGAUACAGGUGGUGCAUGGUUGUCGUCAGCUCGUGUCGUGAGAUGUUGGGUUAAGUCCCGCAACGAGCGCAACCCUUAUUAUCAGUUGCCAGCAUUAAGUUGGGCACUCUGGUGAGACUGCCGGUGACAAACCGGAGGAAGGUGGGGAUGACGUCAAAUCAUCAUGCCCCUUAUGACCUGGGCUACACACGUGCUACAAUGGAUGGUACAACGAGUUGCGAACUCGCGAGAGUAAGCUAAUCUCUUAAAGCCAUUCUCAGUUCGGAUUGUAGGCUGCAACUCGCCUACAUGAAGUCGGAAUCGCUAGUAAUCGCGGAUCAGCAUGCCGCGGUGAAUACGUUCCCGGGCCUUGUACACACCGCCCGUCACACCAUGAGAGUUUGUAACACCCAAAGUCGGUGGGGUAACCUUUUAGGAACCAGC